UAAGUCCCUUGGAACAGGGCGUCAUAGAGGGUGAGAAUCCCGUAUGCGGCCGGUGAUCGAAKUCCAUGUGAAACCCCUUUCGACGAAKUCGAGUUGUUUGGGAAAUSMASYUCUAAAUGGGUGGUAAAUUUCAUCUAAAGCUAAAUACUGGCCAGAGACCGAUAGCGCACAAGUAGAGUGAUCGAAAGAUGAAAAGCACUUUGGAAAGAGAGUUAAACAGUACGUGAAAUUGUUGAAAGGGAAGCGCUUGCAACCAGACCUGUCGUCGGGUGAUCAGCCGUCGUUUUCGGCGGUGCACUCGCCCGGUCGCAGGCCAGCAUCGGUUUGGGCGGUUGGAUAAAGGCCGCGGGAACGUAGCCCCCCUCGGGGAGUGUUAUAGCCCACGGUGCAAUGCAGCCAGCCCGGACCGAGGAUCGCGCUUCGGCUAGGAUGCUGGCGUAAUGGUUGUAAGCGGCCCGUCUUGAAACACGGACCAAGGAGUCUAACAUCUACGCGAGUGGUUUGGGUGUCAAACCCAUGCGCGGAAUGAAAGUGAACGGAGGUGAGACCCCUUAAAGGGCGCAUCAUCGACCGAUCCAGAUGUCUUCGGAUGGAUUUGAGUAAGAGCGUAGCUGUUGGGACCCGAAAGAUGGUGAACUAUGCCUGAAUAGGGUGAAGCCAGAGGAAACUCUGGUGGAGGYUCGCAGCGGUUCUGACGUGCAAAUCGAUCGUCAAAUUUGGGUAUAGGGGCGAAAGACUAA
Molecule: ribosomal RNA, 740 nt
Filed under: Diplotomma venustum
Lineage: Eukaryota; Fungi; Ascomycota; Lecanoromycetes; Caliciales; Caliciaceae
Description: partial large subunit ribosomal RNA
Source: RNAcentral